UGCUCUUGUGCGUGAGGUAGGGUCA
RNAcentral lists this non-coding RNA (25 nucleotides) under Rattus norvegicus (Norway rat). The record is from RNAcentral. Lineage: Eukaryota; Metazoa; Chordata; Mammalia; Rodentia; Muridae.